GACGAACGCUGGCGGCGUGCUUAACACAUGCAAGUCGAACGGAAAGGCCCUGCUCUUGUGGGGUUCUCGAGUGGCGAACGGGUGAGUAACACGUGAGUAACCUGCCCUUGUCCUUGGGAUAACUUCAGGAAACUGGGGCUAAUACCGGAUAGGAGCUCCUGCUGCAUGGUGGUGGUUGGAAAGUUUCGGCGGUUGGGGAUGGUCUCGCGGGUUAUCAGCUUGUUGGUCGGGUAGUGGAUUACCAAGGCUUCGAGGGGUAGCCGGCCUGGGAGGGUGACCGGCCACAUGGGGACUAAGAUACGGCCCAGUCGGCAACGUGAGGCAGCGGUGGGAAGUAUUACGGAAUGAGCGGACGCCUGAGACGGCGGCGCUGCGUGCGGAAUGACGUCCUUCGAGUGAAAAACCGCUUUCGCAUGAGACGUGGCGAGAGUGACGGUAAUGAAUAAAGAAGCACCGGCUAACUACGUG
This 468-nucleotide ribosomal RNA is filed under the name uncultured bacterium. RNAcentral's name for it is "partial 16S ribosomal RNA". It matches the Rfam family "Bacterial small subunit ribosomal RNA", at positions 28 to 507 of the family's 1533-position model. The record is from RNAcentral.